This is a long non-coding RNA of Hippoglossus stenolepis (Pacific halibut), 394 nucleotides long. RefSeq lists it as uncharacterized. Lineage: Eukaryota; Metazoa; Chordata; Actinopteri; Pleuronectiformes; Pleuronectidae. The transcript has 3 exons. The record is from RefSeq and is a predicted model, not a curated record.
AAGCCUCUGACCAACAUGACUGUGGCACGUGUUGGACGUUAAAUAGGUUUUAAAUGUGAUUUAAAUCAUCACCAACCACAGAUCGAUGUCUUCAACCGACGCUGAGAAGCUCAUCAUCCGCCUGCUGGGUUUUAAUCUCCACGAUUAUUCCAUGAACAACCUUUAUUUACACAGAAACACCUGACAGGUGCCAAAUCACCACAAUCUGAGACAACAUGGCCUCUGUACCUGAACGUUGUUAUGUGCGUUGCUAAUAGGACGUCGAUUGGGUUCGUGGGAAAAUGACGAGGAGUCCUUGAACGCACCACGGCUGCUAAUUGGAAAUACCAGCUAAGAGUAAAUGAGUUCGAGUUUGAGGAGUUCUUUGGCCCCUCAACCAGUUUGGAGCCAGGAA